Molecule: small RNA, 138 nt
Filed under: Sinorhizobium meliloti 2011
Lineage: Bacteria; Pseudomonadati; Pseudomonadota; Alphaproteobacteria; Hyphomicrobiales; Rhizobiaceae
Description: putative ncRNA
Source: RNAcentral
GUCCGAGCGUAAUGGCAUCGAGAAAAUCACGGUCCGCUCUCGUUUCCUAGCUUUGCGGGCUGGCUGCCACUGCUUCCAGGGCGAUCGCGACGAUGCUGUCGGCAAAGCCCGUGUCGAGUGGGCGAUGCCCGACGAGCA